This 72-nucleotide transfer RNA is filed under the name Marasmius tenuissimus. RNAcentral's name for it is "tRNA-Val". It matches the Rfam family "tRNA". From Rfam's summary of the family: Transfer RNA (tRNA) molecules are approximately 80 nucleotides in length. Their secondary structure includes four short double-helical elements and three loops (D, anti-codon, and T loops). Lineage: Eukaryota; Fungi; Basidiomycota; Agaricomycetes; Agaricales; Marasmiaceae. The record is from RNAcentral.
AGAGGGUUAGCUGAGUGGUUUUAGCGUUAAAUUUACACUUUAAAGACAGAGUUUCGAUUACUCUACCUUCUA